AUUGAACGCUGGCGGCAGGCCUAACACAUGCAAGUCGAGCGGCAGCGGGAAAGUAGCUUGCUACUUUUGCCGGCGAGCGGCGGACGGGUGAGUAAUGCCUGGGAAAUUGCCCAGUCGAGGGGGAUAACAGUUGGAAACGACUGCUAAUACCGCAUACGCCCUACGGGGGAAAGCAGGGGACCUUCGGGCCUUGCGCGAUUGGAUAUGCCCAGGUGGGAUUAGCUAGUUGGUGAGGUAAUGGCUCACCAAGGCGACGAUCCCUAGCUGGUCUGAGAGGAUGAUCAGGCACAGUGGAACUGAGAAACGGUCCAGACUCCUACGGGAGGCAGCAGUGGGGAAUAUUGCACAAUGGGGGAAACCCUGAUGCAGCCAUGCCGCGUGUGUGAAGAAGGCCUUCGGGUUGUAAAGCACUUCCAGCGAGGAGGAAAGGUUGAUGCCUAAUACGUAUCAACUGUGACGUUACUCGCAGAAGAAGCACCGGCUAACUCCGUGCCAGCAGCCGCCGUAA
Molecule: ribosomal RNA, 508 nt
Filed under: uncultured bacterium
Lineage: Bacteria
Description: partial 16S ribosomal RNA
Rfam family: Bacterial small subunit ribosomal RNA
Source: RNAcentral